GACGAACGCUGGCGGCGUGCUUAACACAUGCAAGUCGAACGGAAAGGCCCUGCUUGCAGGGUACUCGAGUGGCGAACGGGUGAGUAACACGUGGGUGAUCUGCCCUGCACUUCGGGAUAAGCCUGGGAAACUGGGUCUAAUACCGGAUAGGAGCCAUUUUUAGUGUGAUGGUUGGAAAGUUUUUUCGGUGUAGGAUGAGCUCGCGGCCUAUCAGCUUGUUGGUGGGGUAAUGGCCUACCAAGGCGGCGACGGGUAGCCGGCCUGAGAGGGUGGACGGCCACAUUGGGACUGAGGUAAGGCCCAGACUCCUACGGGAGGCAGCAGUGGGGAAUAUUGCACAAUGGGCGCAAGCCUGAUGCAGCGACGCCGCGUGGGGGAUGACGGCCUUCGGGUUGUAAACUCCUUUCGCUAGGGACGAAGCUUUUUGUGACGGUAUCUAGAUAAGAAGCACCGGCUAACUACGUG
This 465-nucleotide ribosomal RNA is filed under the name uncultured bacterium. RNAcentral describes it as "partial 16S ribosomal RNA". It matches the Rfam family "Bacterial small subunit ribosomal RNA", at positions 28 to 507 of the family's 1533-position model. The record is from RNAcentral.